RNAcentral lists this long non-coding RNA (1890 nucleotides) under Heterocephalus glaber (naked mole-rat). RNAcentral's name for it is "lncRNA (ENSHGLG00100044120.1)". Lineage: Eukaryota; Metazoa; Chordata; Mammalia; Rodentia; Bathyergidae. The record is from RNAcentral.
GGGUCACUCCACAGCUCCCUUCACCCAGCACUGAAAGUGAAAGAAGACAAAGGGAUGGGAUACAAGCAUUUUCCCCUGACGACAGUGGGGAAACUGAGGCAGGGAUCCAGAGAAAGAUUCAUAAUCUGGUGAAUGCAUCUCUCCAAAGGGAGAGCUGGGUUAGCCUAGCCCCCUGCCUGCUGAAGCCCAGACCUGCCUUCCCCACCAAGCCACAAAACAGCCAUCUCUGCCCACCCUCACCCAGGUGUGUUCCUCUCUUCAUUUAAAAAUGCAGCACAGAAAACAGCCACAGCUAAAGAUCCCCCAAAAGUAAUAGCAGCCCUCCUGAGGGCAGUGGUAGAGCCCAAUGAGCUGCAGCAUGAAAGAUUGUGGGCAGGCUCAAGGAGGGACCUCCUGGGUCAGCACCAGGUGCUCCCUAAAGGAGCAACCACUGAGGAAGGGCAGGGGGCUUGGUGGUACCAAGGGAGGCCAGGUUGGAGCCCAGACCCGCCCAGAGGCAGAGGGAUGACCUGGCUGACUUUCCCAGGAGCUGGAGUUCUCACCCGGGUGCUUACUCCUUCUCAAGCCCCAUCAGUCAUGUUAAUUACCGAGAAAAAAGCCGAUUUCUCCUCAUUCCCAGACUCAAGCGACAGUAUCAUUAGGCUGCUAAUGUGGAGAAAUUGUGCGUGUCUGUCUUGGAACAUGUCCUGAUCCAGAAUGGGUAAGGGCGCCCCAGGCAGGGGCUGGUCUCCAAGAUGCUGCCUGUGACAGAGAGCCAAUCUCUGGAAGAAAUGCUGUGCCAAUCGGCAGAGGUGGUCUCCCUCUCUGUUCAGUGGGCAUCAACGAUGAUAAUUAAAUCACACCAGCCGAUGGCAUGGAUAAACAGUUCACAGCAUGCAAAGCUUGCCCGAUAGGAACAGAGCUGCUCUCAGACUUAUACAAGGACUCAGACCCUCUUGGCUCUGCCAAACUUAAACUCUGGCCUUGAACUCUGCCGCAGCCCUUUCCAGUCUUGCCUGUACCCUUUUCUCUGAGCUCCUGCCCACCUCUGAAUCAAGAGACAUCUGAGCACCAUCUUACCUCUGGGAGGGAGGAACUGGCUAUUUCUUCCCUGAGCAAGGCCAAGUCUCUGCAGUCAAGAAGAAUGCAACCUCCCAGCCCCAGAAUAAUAGCCACUGCUCCAGCCCUUUACAUGCGUCUUCACACCCUUAACCAUUUAAUCCUCAAUCCAACCCACUUAAGACACAAAGAAACUGAGGCCCAGAGAGGUGAGGUCAUCUAUCCAAGUUCAAGUCUCAGAGCUAAGCCAACCCAGAUCUUCCCAAUGCCAAAACUCAGGCUGAAGACAGUCCUCGGCUAAUCCACCCAGCACUCCAGGAACAUUCUCUUUCUAGCUUCUGUCCUCAAGAGCUAAGACAGUACCAGCAUUGAUGAAAAUUGAAAUCUGGGCCACUCUGACUCUGUUGAUGGAAGGGAAAAUUAGAACAACUUUUCUGGAAAACCACUGAGCGGUGGUGUCAAGAGCUUUAAAACAGACAGACCCUCUGGUCCCAUUCAUCUACUUUUAGGAACUCAAUCCAAGAAAUAACCAAAGACGCCAAAAAAGACCCAUGUACAAGGAUGCUUAUUACUGUUAUUUAUAACUGUGAAAAAUCCCAACCAACAUAAAUGUCUAGCAAUGGAGGGCUGGUUAAAUAAAUUAUGAUACAUCCAUAUAUAAGAAUGUUAUGUAAACAUUAAAUGUCAUGUUCUUGAAGAAUUUUUAAUAACCUGGGAAAUACCAUUUUAUAAGUAAAGCACAACAGAAAACAAAACCGUCCAUCUAGGAUGGUCUUGAUUGUAUAAAGAAAACAUUUAAUCAAUUCAUGUAAAGAAAGUCUGGAAGGAAAUAAAUGAGAGUUAAUCUGAGAA